AGAAUCAACGCUGGCGGCGUGCCUAACACAUGCAAGUCGAACGCGACUUGGGGCUUCGGUUCCAAGUUGAGUGGCGAACGGGUGAGUAACACGUGGGUGAUCUACCUUCGAGUGGGGGAUAACGUUCCGAAAGGAACGCUAAUACCGCAUGACGUUCUGGGUUUGAAGACCUGGAAACCAAAGCCGGGGACCGCAAGGCCUGGCGCUUGAAGAGGAGCCCGCGUCCGAUUAGCUAGUUGGCGGGGUAAUGGCCCACCAAGGCGACGAU
Molecule: ribosomal RNA, 268 nt
Filed under: uncultured soil bacterium
Lineage: Bacteria
Description: partial 16S ribosomal RNA
Rfam family: Bacterial small subunit ribosomal RNA
Source: RNAcentral